GGCGAAAAAUAAAUCAUUUUCUGUCCUCUGUCGUAAGUCAAUUUGGCAAAAUGUCAUCAAGCUGAAUUUUCAACACUUUCACAGUAUUGUGGUUGCUGGAAAUCAAGCGGAAAAAGAAGAAUGCGAAAUUCCGUGCCGAUAGGAUUCUCAAAGGGACAUAUUUGCUUCUGAGUGCGUUGGCUUUUUUUUCUGAAAGUCCUGUCCUUAUAAUCUAGGCGACUCUAACAAGAAACCAUCAUUUCCCCUCAAAUUCAUCCAGAGAUUUCUCCUGAUAUUCCCGUUUGAAGAUUUGGCCGAAGAUUUGCAACAAACCGAACAUCUCAAUCACCA
Molecule: long non-coding RNA, 330 nt
Organism: Armigeres subalbatus
Lineage: Eukaryota; Metazoa; Arthropoda; Insecta; Diptera; Culicidae
Exons: 3
Source: RefSeq, a predicted model, not a curated record